RNAcentral lists this ribosomal RNA (376 nucleotides) under uncultured bacterium. RNAcentral's name for it is "bacterial SSU rRNA". It matches the Rfam family "Bacterial small subunit ribosomal RNA", at positions 524 to 898 of the family's 1533-position model. The record is from RNAcentral.
GACAGAGGGUGCGAACGUUGCUCGGAAUCACUGGGCGUAAAGCGCGUGUAGGCGGACGAUCAAGUCAGGUGUGAAAUCCCUGGGCUCAACCCAGGAACUGCAUCUGAAACUGGUUGCCUUGAGUGUUGGAGAGGGAAGCGGAAUUCCUGGUGUAGAGGUGAAAUUCGUAGAUAUCAGGAGGAACACCGGUGGCGAAGGCGGCUUCCUGGACAAUUACUGACGCUGAGACGCGAAAGCGUGGGGAGCAAACAGGAUUAGAUACCCUGGUAGUCCACGCCGUAAACGAUGAGUGCUAGGUGUCUCGGGUAUUGACCCCUGAGGUGCCGUAGCUAACGCGUUAAGCACUCCGCCUGGGAACUACGGCCGCAAGGCUAAA